RNAcentral lists this ribosomal RNA (115 nucleotides) under uncultured eukaryote. RNAcentral's name for it is "partial small subunit ribosomal RNA". The record is from RNAcentral.
GUUUGCUCCAGGAGUACCUGAGCCAACUCGCAAGAGAGGCAGGAUCCCAAGGAAUGACCGAUAACUAGAGUGAAGUCGUAACAAGGUAGCCGUAGGUGAACCUGCAGAAGGAUCA